Molecule: small nuclear RNA, 106 nt
Organism: Schistocerca piceifrons (Central American locust)
Lineage: Eukaryota; Metazoa; Arthropoda; Insecta; Orthoptera; Acrididae
Source: RefSeq, a predicted model, not a curated record
GUACUGACUGUGGCGGAACAUUUAGUAAAAUUGAAACGAUAUUGAGGAAGUUAGGACGAUCUUGCGCAAGGAUGACACACAAAAUCGUGAAGUGUUCCAGAUCGGC